AGGAUUAUAGUUAAAUAUAACACUUGAUUUGCAUUCAAGAAAUACUGUUCCCAGUUAAUCUUA
This 63-nucleotide transfer RNA is filed under the name Gryllotalpa unispina. RNAcentral describes it as "tRNA-Ala". It matches the Rfam family "tRNA". Rfam says of the family: Transfer RNA (tRNA) molecules are approximately 80 nucleotides in length. RNAcentral also lists the same sequence under 1 other name. The record is from RNAcentral. Lineage: Eukaryota; Metazoa; Arthropoda; Insecta; Orthoptera; Gryllotalpidae.